GUGGCUUCUCUCUACUUCUCAGACUACUCACCCUUUUGUUCUCCUCUUUUUUAACUGUAUAUAUAGAUAUUUUAUUUUUAUUUUGCCAAAUAUUAAGCUCGAAAAAUUAUCAGACACUACUCUAGAUUUCCGUACGCAAAAGACUAAGUUAUGCCAAAGAAAGUGCGAAAUACUCGUCGACUGUGUAAUGCGCUGCACAGGUGGAACUCGACGACAGCCAAGGGUUGCGACUUGAGAUUCGCAGUACGACAUUUCUUGGGAAAAUAGACGCCAAAAAAUACACUGCUGUCCAAAUGAAGACAUUGAAUUUUCAUGCACCGAAUUUGUAUAUUUAUGGCAAAAGUGCUUGCACGUGCAUACACUUCACCAGCUCACUGCCUAACGUACAAGUGGAGCAAGAGGGUGGAUCGAGUUCGGGAGAGAUACUAGGUGGGCAAACAACACGAGAUAAUAAUGGGUUAGAGAAGUAUAAAAUAACACUCAUGAAAUAUUAUCAUUGAGGUAGAAAAAAAUU
Long non-coding RNA from Cotesia glomerata, 514 nucleotides. RefSeq lists it as uncharacterized. Lineage: Eukaryota; Metazoa; Arthropoda; Insecta; Hymenoptera; Braconidae. The record is from RefSeq and is a predicted model, not a curated record. The transcript is spliced from 4 exons.